RNAcentral lists this ribosomal RNA (301 nucleotides) under uncultured bacterium. RNAcentral's name for it is "partial 16S ribosomal RNA". It matches the Rfam family "Bacterial small subunit ribosomal RNA", at positions 509 to 807 of the family's 1533-position model. The record is from RNAcentral.
CAGUCGCCACGGUAAUACGAAGGGGGCUAGCGUUGCUCGGAAUGACUGGGCGUAAAGGGCGCGUAGGCGGCGGCCAAAGUCAGGCGUGAAAUUCCUGGGCUCAACCUGGGGGCUGCGUUUGAUACUUGGUUGCUUGAGUGGGGAAGAGGGUCGUGGAAUUCCCAGUGUAGAGGUGAAAUUCGUAGAUAUUGGGAAGAACACCGGUGGCGAAGGCGGCGACCUGGUCCUUUACUGACGCUGAGGCGCGAAAGCGUGGGGAGCAAACAGGAUUAGAUACCCCGGUAGUCCCUGUCUCUUAUAC